This 1846-nucleotide long non-coding RNA is filed under the name Oryctolagus cuniculus (rabbit). RNAcentral's name for it is "lncRNA (ENSOCUG00000039357.1)". Lineage: Eukaryota; Metazoa; Chordata; Mammalia; Lagomorpha; Leporidae. The record is from RNAcentral.
AUGCGUGUGCAGGGGCUCUGGGACUUGGGCCAUCUUCUGCUUUCCCAGGCCAUAGCAGAGAGCUGGAUCAGAAGUAGAGCAGCCGGGACUCAAACCAGUGCCCAUAUGGGAUGCCAGCACUGCAGGCCGUGGCUUUUCCAGCUAUGCCACAGUGCCGGCCCCAGCAUCCAUUUUAAGACUGAUCUAUUCAAGACAUUUUAUGAGAUACAAUUUUCUAUCACAAUGAAAGUGUCCAGGCUCAAAUAACCAACAUCUAGGGAAGCACUGUUCAAUUUAAUUUUUUUUGUGUGUAGGGGGCAAAAGUGAGAAAAAGUACAGUAACAUUCAGAAAUAGAGAGGUUGAACAAUUGCCCAAGGUUGUAGAGUGAGUCAGAAAAAUGAAAUUGGUUUCUUUAUAACUUCUUCUUCUUCUUCUUUUUUUUUUUUUUUUUUUUUUUUUGGACAGGCAGAGUGGACAGUGAGAGAGAGACAGAGAGAAAGGUUUUCCUUUUGCCGCUGGUUCACCCUCCAAUGGCCACCACAGCUGGCGCGCUGCAGCCAGCGCACUGCGCUGAUCCGAAGGUAGGAGCCAGGUGCUUCUCCUGGUCUCCCAUGGGGUGCAGGGCCCAAGCACUUGGGCCAUCCUCCACUGCACUCCCGGGCCGUAGCAGAGAGCUGGCCUGGAAGAGGGGCAAUUGGGACAGAAUCCGGCACUCUGACCUGGACUAGAACCCGGUGUGCUGGUGCCACAAGGUGGAGGAUUAGCCUAUUGAGCCGUGGCGCCAGCCUUUAUAACUUCUUAUAUUCUUGCAUACUCACAGCCUUUCACACACAUAGCUUCCUUAUGUGUGCUGAUAUAUAACUUCCAUCACAUUUUUCUAGUUCAUAGAGAUGUUCCACAACUUCAAGUAAAGAAUUUAGAUACUCAUAUCAUUACCAUACAACCAAGCAAAGUAUUUUCAAAGGAAGGGGAGAAAUAUCACAUUUUUUUGGCCUAUUUUGCUAGCAUGUUGGCUACAUACCUUCUAGACUAUGUAGUAGGAAAAACAACACCCCCAUCUGCCCUCCUACAAUGGUGUCCAUUGCUAAUCCCCAGAAACUAUGGUUAUGUUAAGUUAUACAUCAAAAGGGCAUUAAAUUUGCCAACCAAUUGCUCUUAAGACUAGGAGCCUAUCCUGGAUUAUCCAAGUGUACUCCAUCAAUCACAAACAUUUUUAUAAAGUGAAUGAGGGAAGCAGAAAAUGAGCCCAAGAAGGUUGUGGGAAAAGGAUGAAGCCUGGAGUUGCUCACUUUGAAGACAUAGGAUGAGGUGACAAAUCAAGGAAUGUGGCAGCCUCUAGAUGCUGAGAAAGGCAAGAAACAGAUUCUUACCUAGAGUUCCCAGAAAGCACAAUUCUGCCAACACCUCAAGUUUAGCUUUGUCCAACCCAUGUCAGACAUCUGAUCUCUAGAAUCAUAAUUGAGUUUUAUUUAGAGCACUAGUUAUAGCAGCUAGUAAUGAAUACAAACCACAACUUAUGCUUUUUUUUAAAUUGUGCUUUCUAUUUACUAGUAGAAAAUUUGUUCAAAAGGAUUAAUGCAGAGACACUCAAUAGGAAGUCUGAAGAUGUUAAAUCUAUAGGUAAGUCAUUUGACACAACUGCUAUAUUUGUUUUGAACAUAAUUUAACAAUAGGAACUUGAAGGGUUGGGGUUUUUUAAUAAUCACAGAGUCAACUUGUGUAAGGUUGUAUGAAUAUUCUUCCUCAUUUUUGCUAAUACAAAAUGUCUGAUCCUCUAUAAGAAAUCACUACCACAUUUUUUCCUACAAGGUUUCAGGCUCCACCACAUAAAAUAAACUCAAGUAUUAUGGUUAAACUGUGUAUGAA